UAGUCGGUCCCAAGGGUUGGGCUGUUCGCCCAUUAAAGCGGUACGCGAGCUGGGUUCAGAACGUCGUGAGACAGUUCGGUCCCUAUCCGUCGUGGGCGCAGGAAAUUUGAGAGGAGCUGUCCUUAGUACGAGAGGACCGGGAUGGACGCACCGCUGGUGUACCAGUUGUCUUGCCAAAGGCAUCGCUGGGUAGCUAUGUGCGGACGGGAUAAGUGCUGAAAGCAUCUAAGCAUGAAGCCCCCCUCAAGAUGAGAUUUCCCAUAGCGUCAAGCUAGUAAGAUCCCUGAAAGAUGAUCAGGUUGAUAGGUCAGAGGUGGAAGCGCGGUGACGUGUGGAGCUGACUGAUACUAAUCGAUCGAGGACUUAACCUAAUU
This 374-nucleotide ribosomal RNA is filed under the name Mesobacillus campisalis. RNAcentral's name for it is "bacterial LSU rRNA". It matches the Rfam family "Bacterial large subunit ribosomal RNA", at positions 2556 to 2925 of the family's 2925-position model. The record is from RNAcentral. Lineage: Bacteria; Bacillati; Bacillota; Bacilli; Caryophanales; Bacillaceae.